AUGCCCAACGGCAGCUUGGACAGCUACCUGCACGCUCAUACGACGCUCUCAUGGACGCAGAGGCUUUGCAUCAUCAAGGGCGUCGCGUUCGGGCUCUUGUACCUCCACGAGGACUGGGAGCAGGUCAUCAUGCACCGGGACGUCAAGGCCAGUAACGUCCUCCUCGACGGCGACAUGAAUGGCCGCUUGGGUGACUUCGGCCUCGCGAGGCUGGCUGCAUGA
This 222-nucleotide ribosomal RNA is filed under the name Triticum aestivum (bread wheat). RNAcentral describes it as "partial small subunit ribosomal RNA". The record is from RNAcentral. Lineage: Eukaryota; Viridiplantae; Streptophyta; Magnoliopsida; Poales; Poaceae.